RNAcentral lists this ribosomal RNA (448 nucleotides) under uncultured bacterium. RNAcentral describes it as "SSU rRNA". It matches the Rfam family "Bacterial small subunit ribosomal RNA", at positions 26 to 518 of the family's 1533-position model. The record is from RNAcentral.
AGAGCGAACGCUGGCGGCAGGCUUAACACAUGCAAGUCGAGCGGGCGUAGCAAUACGUCAGCGGCAGACGGGUGAGUAACGCGUGGGAACGUACCUUUGGUUCGGAACAACACAGGGAAACUUGUGCUAAUACCGGAUAAGCCCUUACGGGGAAAGAUUUAUCGCCAAAAGAUCGGCCCGCGUCUGAUUAGCUAGUUGGUGAGGUAACGGCUCACCAAGGCGACGAUCAGUAGCUGGUCUGAGAGGAUGAUCAGCCACAUUGGGACUGAGACACGGCCCAAACUCCUACGGGAGGCAGCAGUGGGGAAUAUUGGACAAUGGGCGCAAGCCUGAUCCAGCCAUGCCGCGUGAGUGAUGAAGGCCCUAGGGUUGUAAAGCUCUUUUGUGCGGGAAGAUAAUGACGGUACCGCGAAAGAAUAAGCCCGGCUAACUUCGCGCCAGCAGCCGC